CCUACGGGGGGCUGCAGUGAGGAAUAUUGGUCAAUGGGCUUACGCCUGAACCAGCCAAGUCGCGUGAGGGAAGACUGCCCUAUGGGUUGUAAACCUCUUUUGUCAGGGAGUAAUUGGCGCUACGUGUAGCGUUAUCGAGAGUACCUGAAGAAAAAGCAUCGGCUAACUCCGUGCCAGCAGCCGCGGUAAUACGGAGGAUGCGAGCGUUAUCCGGAUUUAUUGGGUUUAAAGGGUGCGUAGGCGGAAUGCCAAGUCAGCGGUAAAAUCGCGGGGCUCAACCUCGCUCCGCCGUUGAAACUGGCGGUCUUGAGUUGGCGAGAAGUAUGCGGAAUGCGUGGUGUAGCGGUGAAAUGCAUAGAUAUCACGCAGAACUCCGAUUGCGAAGGCAGCAUACCGGCGCCCAACUGACGCUGAAGCACGAAAGCGUGGGUAUCGAACAGGAUUAGAUACCCGGGUAGUC
This 460-nucleotide ribosomal RNA is filed under the name uncultured bacterium. RNAcentral describes it as "partial 16S ribosomal RNA". It matches the Rfam family "Bacterial small subunit ribosomal RNA", at positions 338 to 795 of the family's 1533-position model. The record is from RNAcentral.